UGGCGGCGACGCAAUACUGUGAUAACUUUCCUGGCAUGUUUGGCGCGUGUGGCCUCACAGAGGCAGCUGGGGAGCCUGCAGACUCAGUUUACCAGGACUUCAUAGAAUCAAAGAAUAAGAAAACAUUGUACAGGCAAACAGCAGUCUAAAAAUCUACAGAGACACAAUCUUAGCUGAUACAUAAAAGUGUCACCCUGGGAUGUUUUGGCGAUGGUCCCGAGACAGGUGACGGCAUGUUCUAUUCGAGGAGGCGGUGAACCGCAUGGGCACAGCCCUGCCUGCCCCACCCGGCCCCGCACGGUUUUAUUUCCUCCUCUUUGGACUCUACUGUAGGAACCAGCACUUCACUCCCUCAGAUCCCUGGUGGACGAGGUAAAAGGUGCAAACGCAAAUCGGUCAGUUUGCAGUUUGCCGUCUAUUUUGAUUUAAAAGAUGGUUCCAGGUUUUGCACGAACGACUAGUAUGGAAUUCUCUGGAUCUUGGCUUUGGAGGGUGUCUCUACAUCCUGGUAUGCAGGUUAUCACCGGUUUGCCUCUCCAGGAUUUCGUCUGCUUUGUAUGACCUUCCCUGAGAAUCUGCUCCUCCUCUUGUGAGCCUGGAAAAACUGCUCUUGUUAAAUAACAAAAGGACUCAGUGCUGGGGGAGUUUAUUCUCUGGCAUCCUGUCAAGGACUGAGCUGUUUAACAUCAUCAGCAGUGAGACUGGAACAUCCCACUCCUGCCUGGAGGUGUGAGCUACGUGAGCUCUUUAGCACCGAGAAGUAGCCUCGUAUCCAACCCACUUGCAGAUUUCAGACAAUUUCAGGGCUUUUCCUACAACACAACAUUCCUCAUUUAUCUUAACUUUAAAGUUUCCAAGGAAACAGGACCCUUAGUCUGUUUUUCAGCCCUGACCUGCUGAUGACUCCUUGACACACAGCCCUGCCUUGCCCCCAUCAAAACAAUUCUUCGUUUCAAUUUUACCUAAACUUCCCCCCUUACAAAUCCUUCCCUCCUCCAGGGAAAUGCCCAGCGGUUCUGGUUUUGGGCCCCCCUGAGGCAGCCGGUUAGGAAGCUGCCUCUCCCUGGGGUCUUCAUCAGACGGGCUUUCUCGCUGUGUCUGCCCACCACGCACCACUUUCUAAUCAUAUGCUUAUUUAGACACAUUUCUCCAACUAGACUGAACGUAGUGUCAAGUGUAGCGUCCGCAUUUAUCGGCUUAUUUGCAAAUCACACUUACUAUCUGGCACCUGGUAGUCAUUUAAAUUGUUUAUGAACAGAUGAACACAUGAACAGUAGGAAAAGUGUUUUUUAAGUUACAAAACAGAAAUGAUAACUAAGGGUCCUGGAAGUAAAAACACUGACUCUGUUAAUUUUGUUACAUUUUUAUGUAUAAUUUCGGCUGCUUUUUAUUGAACUGUUCCAUUCGGUGAUUAAAAUAUCACUGGGACAGGUUUUAACUUUUUUUUCUAGCUAUCGUUUUUCAUGAUAUAUUAAAGUAAAAUGUAUUUGAUAUAUAAGUAUUAUUACUAGCGUCUGUUGAAUUAUUUCAAAGUGAUCGUAACAGCGCUAGCUUCUAGCCAACAUCAGAAACACAAUGGCAAUGAGUAGAUGAGGAGGCUUAGAACAGGUGCAGACAGGCUGGGCUUUCAGGGAUGAAGAACUCUUAUAUCUGCUUUGCCACUGAGUUUCUUUUUUUUAUUUUUUAAAUACAAAACAGUUAUUUAAACUCUGUUGUAGCUGGGGCCAGCAAUCUGUGGGCUGCCCUGUGUUUUUAUGAAUCCAGUUUCAUUGGAACACAGCCAUGUUCAUUCACUGACAUGUUAUCUGUGGCUUCUUUCAAAAUACAAAGGGAGAGUCGCCAUACAGACCACAUAACCUGCAGAGCCUGACAUUUUUGCUGUCCGGCCCUUUAUAGAAUACACAUGGACUAGAUGAAAAAUAAUCAUUUUAAAUUAUUAUAACAUUUGCUUUCAAAAUGCAGAUGUGUAGAAGCACAGAUACACAUAUGCACAUAAUAUUUUGGUAUAUUUUAAUUUCUUAAUUGCAUUAACAAAUUUUAUUAAAUAAAUUGAUUAAAAAUGAACAAAAACUUAAUGGAGAAAGUUUCUCCAUGAAAAUAAAGAAAAAUGUAUCCAAUUUUCUGUAAAUAUCAAACAAGUAGCAAAUCUUCUCUUUUGUUAGAACCUGAGGUGUGACUGUUGCCAAAAGCCAUCCUGCCCUCUCCGGACCCCCCUCUACCUGUUGGAUUCUGCCUGUAUCUUCCUCACCUGGUACCAGGAGUAGGCCCGGUCCGAGGGGUCGAUAAGAAUGGUGAUGAUCUUGGCUUUGGGGACCAGAGAGGCUGCUCUUUUAGGUGCUUCCUCGGAGUGGAAGUAGUUGGCACUCUUCUCAAACAGGAAGUCCGUGGUGGCAUUCGACGGGACUGGGAAGAAAUCCAUAUACCUAGAACAGGAAUAUUUUCCUCAAAAUAAGACUCUAGUUUAUACUCAUAUCCUGGUGACUGAACAUGUUAAAGUUGUCCCCCAAAUUCAUUUGUCUCCUAAACAAAAAAACCUUCUCCUUGGGGCAUUUGUCCCUCUUUGUUAGCAAGGGGGAAAUAUCCAGAACACUAAUAAUGGAGUUUGAAGAUGUUUUUGUAAAUACAUUUUCUUUUUGUUUUGUUUAAUAUCAAAAACGACACAGAGAUAACAAAAAUGCAGACACAGAGUGAUCAAACUGCAGCAAUACUCAGCCUAACUAUAUAAAAUGUAUCUAAAUGCAGAAAUACUGUACAGAGAAAAAUGUAAGUGCUGGAAAAGAAGAUUUGAUUAAAACAAAUUAUUAAUCUACUA
Lemur catta (Ring-tailed lemur) is the source of this 2812-nucleotide long non-coding RNA. RefSeq lists it as uncharacterized. The transcript has 4 exons. The record is from RefSeq and is a predicted model, not a curated record. NCBI's taxonomy places the organism in Eukaryota, Metazoa, Chordata, Mammalia, Primates, Lemuridae.